This 344-nucleotide unclassified non-coding RNA is filed under the name uncultured fungus. RNAcentral describes it as "partial contains small subunit ribosomal RNA, internal transcribed spacer 1, and 5.8S ribosomal RNA". The stretch from base 1 to 73 matches the Rfam family "Eukaryotic small subunit ribosomal RNA", at positions 1759 to 1831 of the family's 1831-position model. The record is from RNAcentral. Lineage: Eukaryota; Fungi.
GCAAACUUGGUCAUUUAGAGGAAGUAAAAGUCGUAACAAGGUAACCGUAGGUGAACCUGCGGUUGGAUCAUUACAGAAUUAUGAUUUGUUGGGGGGCUCAAGAAGGUUUUUCGCCUUUUCCCCCUUCAAACUCAUAUCCACCUUUUUGUGUAACGUUUCACGUAUUUUGGCGGUCCAAUAACAUGGGAAAGGCAAGGGAAACCUUGUUUGCCUGGGACCGCCAGCAUCAAACACCAUGUAAUAAUUUUGUUUGUGAAUUUGAAUGCCUCUUCACGAGGUUUCUGAAUUUGAAAAUAACUUUUGACAACGGAUCUCUUGGCUCUCGCAUCGAUGAAGAACGCAGC